GACAGAGGGUGCGAACGUUGUUCGGAAUUACUGGGCGUAAAGCGCGUGUAGGCGGUCUUGCAAGUCGGGCGUGAAAUCCCUGGGCUCAACCGAGGAAGUGCGCUCGAAACUGCAAGACUGGAGUUCCGGAGAGGAUGGUGGAAUUCUCGGUGUAGAGGUGAAAUUCGUAGAUAUCGAGAGGAACACCGGUGGCGAAGGCGGCCAUCUGGACGGAAACUGACGCUGAGACGCGAAAGCGUGGGUAG
This 245-nucleotide ribosomal RNA is filed under the name uncultured bacterium. RNAcentral describes it as "partial 16S ribosomal RNA". It matches the Rfam family "Bacterial small subunit ribosomal RNA", at positions 524 to 768 of the family's 1533-position model. The record is from RNAcentral.